This 468-nucleotide ribosomal RNA is filed under the name uncultured Aquabacterium sp. RNAcentral describes it as "bacterial SSU rRNA". It matches the Rfam family "Bacterial small subunit ribosomal RNA", at positions 916 to 1381 of the family's 1533-position model. The record is from RNAcentral. Lineage: Bacteria; Pseudomonadati; Pseudomonadota; Betaproteobacteria; Burkholderiales; Sphaerotilaceae.
AGACGGGACCCGCACAAGCGGUGGAUGAUGUGGUUUAAUUCGAUGCAACGCGAAAAACCUUACCUACCCUUGACAUGUCAAGAAUUUUGCAGAGAUGUGAAAGUGCUCGAAAGAGAACUUGAACACAGGUGCUGCAUGGCCGUCGUCAGCUCGUGUCGUGAGAUGUUGGGUUAAGUCCCGCAACGAGCGCAACCCUUGUCAUUAGUUGCUACCGCAAGGAGCACUCUAAUGAGACUGCCGGUGACAAACCGGAGGAAGGUGGGGAUGACGUCAGGUCCUCAUGGCCCUUAUGGGUAGGGCUACACACGUCAUACAAUGGUCGGUACAGAGGGUUGCCAAGCCGCGAGGUGGAGCCAAUCCCUUAAAGCCGAUCGUAGUCCGGAUCGUAGUCUGCAACUCGACUACGUGAAGUCGGAAUCGCUAGUAAUCGCAGAUCAGCAUGCUGCGGUGAAUACGUUCCCGGGUCUU